RNAcentral lists this ribosomal RNA (492 nucleotides) under uncultured bacterium. RNAcentral describes it as "partial 16S ribosomal RNA". It matches the Rfam family "Bacterial small subunit ribosomal RNA", at positions 29 to 507 of the family's 1533-position model. The record is from RNAcentral.
AGUGAACGCUGGCGGUAGGCCUAACACAUGCAAGUCGAACGGCAGCACAGUAAGAGCUUGCUCUUACGGGUGGCGAGUGGCGGACGUGUGAGGAAUACAUCGGAAUCUACUUUUUCGUGGGGGAUAACGUAGGGAAACUUACGCUAAUACCGCAUACGACCUACGGGUGAAAGCAGUGGAUCUUCGGACCUUGCGCGAUUGAAUGAGCCGAUGUCGGAUUAGCUAGUUGGCGGGGUAAAGGCCCACCAAGGCGACGAUCCGUAGCUGGUCUGAGAGGAUGAUCGCCCACACUGGAACUGAGACACGGUCAAGACUCCUACGGGAGGCAGCAGUGGGGAAUAUUGGACAAUGGGCGCAAGCCUGAUCCAGCCAUACCGCGUGGGUGAAGAAGGCCUUCGGGUUGUAAAGCCCUUUUGUUGGGAAAGAAAAGCAGCAGGUUAAUACCCCGCUGUUCUGACGGUACCCAAAGAAUAAGCACCGGCUAACUUCGUG